UCUAGGGUGUUACUUUCGCCAAACCUUGAAGCUAGUGAAGCCGUGCUUGAAACGUGUAUUUUCCACAAUGCUGACUAAUUCAGAUGAUCCUGUCUUGCAUGACGAAGCUGUUCAUGAUAUUAUCAUGUGCACGGUGGAGCGGGGACUAGAUAAAAUGAAAACCUGCACUUACCUUAGAACAGACGAAUGGAUAAGAAAGAAUG
Long non-coding RNA from Mobula hypostoma (lesser devil ray), 203 nucleotides. RefSeq lists it as uncharacterized. Lineage: Eukaryota; Metazoa; Chordata; Chondrichthyes; Myliobatiformes; Myliobatidae. The transcript has 3 exons. The record is from RefSeq and is a predicted model, not a curated record.